GACGAACGCUGGCGGCGUGCUUAACACAUGCAAGUCGAACGGAAAGGCCCUGCUUUUGUGGGGUGCUCGAGUGGCGAACGGGUGAGUAACACGUGAGUAACCUGCCCUUGACUUUGGGAUAACUUCAGGAAACUGGGGCUAAUACCGGAUAGGAGCUCCUGCGGCAUGGUGGGGGUUGGAAAGUUUCGGCGGUUGGGGAUGGACUCGCGGCUUAUCAGCUUGUUGGUGGGGUAGUGGCUUACCAAGGCUUUGACGGGUAGCCGGCCUGAGAGGGUGACCGGCCACAUUGGGACUGAGAUACGGCCCAGACUCCUACGGGAGGCAGUAGUGGGGAAUAUUGCACAAUGGGCGGACGCCUGAUGAAGCAACGCCGCGUGCGGGAUGACGGCCUUCGGGUUGUAAACCGCUUUCGCCUGUGACGAAGCGUGAGUGACGGUAAUGGGUAAAGAAGCACCGGCUAACUACGUG
RNAcentral lists this ribosomal RNA (468 nucleotides) under uncultured bacterium. RNAcentral describes it as "partial 16S ribosomal RNA". It matches the Rfam family "Bacterial small subunit ribosomal RNA", at positions 28 to 507 of the family's 1533-position model. The record is from RNAcentral.